Non-coding RNA from Paramisgurnus dabryanus, 3900 nucleotides. The record is from RefSeq and is a predicted model, not a curated record. NCBI's taxonomy places the organism in Eukaryota, Metazoa, Chordata, Actinopteri, Cypriniformes, Cobitidae.
UUGACAUUAAAGUACCGCGAGAGCGAUUGCUUUCGCGGUACUUUGAUGUCAUAAGCCGAGCGGUCUGCGCAGCGCCGCAUAAAGUCAAACACGCCUGUACAGUAUCGGUUGACUGAGGUUCCUUUUCUUACCACGUGCCUCCUGACGUCGCCAAAACAAAAACAACAGUGACCCACGCGUCACAAAACACUGUUUCGACCCAACGGAUAGUAAUAUACAAGGACAUGGCAUGGAGGAGUUUUUGUUAUAAAUGAACCAAAACAGACUCGAUGAAUACAUUAUUCCUGUUUUCAAAUAACACCAGAUAUCACAUACACCAUCCAUCCUCAGCAAAGAUGUGGCUUCUGGAAUGCUCAGCAACAAUCCGAAACAAAAAGGGGUGUUCCUAAGGAGGCAGAUGCAGGUUGGGCAGGAGGACAUAAGAAUGCACGUGCCACCCCAACCAGAUGCACCUUUGCCACUCAGGAAACCAGCUCGACUCUUCAGACCCCUGGUUUUCACUGUGGUGGUAGUUCUACCCUGUUACAGAGAUGAGAAGACAAGAUAACUUUUUCUCUAACACCUUUUUAGUUUACAGGCUGCUCGUUUGGUGCAGCUGCCAUCUUGCAGUAUGAAUCAAAGUCACGAGUUCAGAUGGCCAUGGAGGAGGCCAAUAAGAAAAAACUAAAACUUGAAGGGGUUCAUGACAUAACAUGCUGGCACAAAUGGUGGAAUCAGCUGUCAAACUUCCAGAAGCAGGUGAUUAUGUUGAUGUCUGGCAUUGAUGAGUUGUGGAGUGGGCUAAGUGAAGGACAGAAGACAGUCACAGGUAUCAUAGCUCUAAACGCUUUGUUAUUGUGUUGUUGGAGAAUACGAUCAAUGAAGCACUUUAUGGUCAAGUACUUCACCUGUAACCCUGCCUCCAAGACAAGGUGUUUUCCUAUGGUCCUGUCUGCUUUCAGCCACUACUCUGUCAUUCACGUGAUGGUUAACAUGUAUGUGCCAUUGUCUUUUUUCACUACCAUUGUCUCCCUGCUUGGGAAGGAGCCGUUUCUGGCCCUUUAUCUGUCUGGAGGUACUAUUAAUUGUUAAUAGAUUUUAAAAAUGUUAUCAUAAUUGUGUAACUGUAUAUAUCUAUUGAUCACUGUCCUAUCAUCUGUCCAAUGUCUGUUGUGUCACUCCAUGAUCUUUUUACAUAAAAAGGUCCCAUUUUUUCUGCGUUUUCAAAAUUUUGAUUGUGUUUACAGUGCCUAAUAUAACAUGUUCAUGUUUUGUGUGUAAAAAAAACGCAGUAUUUAACCCUUCGCUAAACCCCGCCCUCUUUAGUUACUGUUGCUACGGCUGUCAAGCUUUCGCUCCUGACAAGUCUACUAACUACAGUAUGCACCAGUGUCAGACAUUCCCAAGGAGAUAAUUAGUCAUUUUUGGGGAACAAUUCGAUUAGAAAAUAAUUUAAUCAAAAUUAAAGCUAAAGCCACCUCAUACACUAACCAUAUAAAUGUGAAACACACAAAUUGAGGAACCGCUUUGUUCAUGCUUAGCAGGGUAAAUCAAAUUUGUGAAAAUAAUCUAAUAAUUAUAAAUCAAACAUCUUAUGCAUAGAUCGUGUGGAAUAAACAUUAGACAUUAGCCUAACCACUUUGCAAUGAUAACAUUCUCCUGCUUACAGUAUAGAACUACUCGGGAGAGCCGCAAUGGGAUUGGGGUACUUAGGGUAGGCCGUCUAUUACCAAAAUGCUAAAAUAUUUUUUAAAGUAUGUCAGUCAGCCUCCGUUUUGCCUUUAAUCAUCUUAUUUUACAUUGAAAUAUAUGUAUUAUAAACAAAAAUUUGUCAUUAUUUCCAAGCAAUGAUGUGCUGGGUUAGCUAGUUAGCUAAGAUUAACGUAUGUGUUUUUGUUAAUCCUGUUGACAUUGAGUUGUGAAUGAGGCCUUCCACACUGCUUGAUCCAUGUCCAACAUUUCUCCCCAUUGGUUUUAGGUUUCGGGAAGGUAAACAAUUCCACAACCCCGUUCAAACUUUCAGGAUACCAGGUAUCAGAUUUAAACAAUCCAUACGCACAACGCUUCGGCAUGUUUCCCUCGCUCGAAAGCUUGAUAGACCUCCCGUGCCUAUUUACGGUUUCUGAACCGUGAUUGGCCUGUGGCGUUUGGCAUUGAACUUUGAGCUUUGUAAUAUAAAAUAAAAAUAAUAAAUAAAUAAUAUAAAAACGGCGCUUUUACAUAGUUGUGUUGCAAAUAGGAGUGUACAGUCAGUGUAAUUAUCGCAAAAAUGACUUUGUAAAACAAGACUCCUUCACUCUGCAUUUUGGGCCCUUUUCUCUCCUUGUGUUGAGACUUGACUUGGGGCACCACUGGAAAAGUUAUAAAAUGGAGGUAAACAGUGCCCCAGAUGUGUUUGCUUAUUAGCAUUUUUCAAAAUAUCUUCAUUUGUGUUCAGCAGAACAAAGAAAUGUAUAUAAGUUUUGAACAACUUGAGGGUGAAAAAAUGAUGACAAAAUUUGUAAUUUUUGGAUGAACUAUCCCUUUUAAGUUUUAAAUCAAGCUUAAAGGCCAUGCAUAUGAGGGCAAGCAAAAGUGUAGUCCAUUUUAUACUAAUUGACAAUUUUUCCUAUUGACAAAAAUCUAUUUUCAAAUCAAUUUCCUCAGUUAUUGACUUAAAGCUCAGAUGCAGGUUUUAAACAGUAUUAUGAAGAUGUCAUAACAGUGAAUAUUAAAGACAAUGUUCUUAAGCACAAGUGUAAUUUAAUUUACAGUUAAAGCUGAGAUGUGAGUAUUGAUCUUUAUCCUGCAGUCAGGUGCCGUCAUGACUGUAUUGGCUGCUGUCUGCACAAAAAUACCAGAAGCUAAGCUGGGGAUCAUCUUACUUCCUGUGGUCAGCUUAAGUGCUGGAAAUUUAAGUGUGGGUAGGCGUAUUCGUGUGUAUCUUGUUCUGUAUAUUUGGCUAUAAUCAUAAUGCUUUUUGAUGUACUUUAGGCUUUGAAAGCCCUUGUUGCCUUGGAUACAGCUGGUCUUCUUUUUGGCUGGAGGUUGUUUGACCAUGUGGCCCAUCUCGGGGGGGCUAUAUUUGGAGUGUGGUACAUCCUGUAUGGUAAUGAUAUGAUCUGGAGGAGGCGUGAGCCACUGGUGAAGUUUUGGCAUGAGUUGAGGAAUGGGUCACCUGGGAGAUCCCGACAGGGUUGAGGUGGGGGUCAAGUUUAGGAUUGUUUAUUUCUUCUAGAUCAAACCCUCUCAGAUUGGAAAAGUAAAUGGGAACAUCAUUCAGUAUACUCUGUGAUGACUGACAUAGAUUCAAUAGAUGAUCAAAACUGUGGUGCAUUGCUUACAUAUAACACUCAGAAUUUGAUUUCUGAAGCUGCUGUAUGGUUUUUACAGACUGGGUCACAUAUAUAAAAAAUGUUUUGUCAUAAUUGGUCUGCUUUUUCUCAUAUUUAGCCAUUUGUAUCCAUUUAUAAUUGAACUAUUGUUAGAAAAGGGCUGGAUGAAUGAAUACAGUGUGGAUACCUGUCUAUUAUAGACAGAUAUAUAAACAAUAUCCACUUCAAAUAUAUAGACAAAAUAGUAUUGAAAUAUUUGCCUGCAAACUUAAUUUCAUAAAUUAGCAAGUGUUACAACUAACCCCCUGUCUGUUACAAUUAACCCCGCCUAUGGGGUAAGUUGUAACAUUUGCACUUCGGUCACGUUUGGUGUAAUUGUCCAAGAAUGGUAAGUACUAGAAACAAACUGCAAAUGUUCAUUUGUCGAAGAGAUGUGUGUGUUGCUUGUGUAAAAAUAUAAUUAAUCACUCUCAAAUAUUUUUUUAAUGAUUUAGCCAAAACCAAAAAGCGUUAGGUUGUGCCCCGCUGUCCCCUAUUCUAUAUGUAUCCUAAUAAAGAGAGUGAAAAAUACAUAUGAAUUGUCAUUAUAACUUUUCUAAAACAACAA